This is a ribosomal RNA of Danio rerio (zebrafish), 133 nucleotides long. Lineage: Eukaryota; Metazoa; Chordata; Actinopteri; Cypriniformes; Danionidae. The record is from Ensembl.
UUCUAUAUUUAUUUUACUCACUAAAUCUUACUCAAUUUAUCUUACUCAAGGUUACUCACUGAAGAUAAGCAGGGCUGAGCCUGGUUAGUACCUGGAUGGGAGACCACAUGGGAACACUUGGUUACUGUUGGAA